Anolis carolinensis (green anole) is the source of this 2615-nucleotide RNA transcript. It is a transcript of the gene named FLVCR choline and putative heme transporter 2, with no coding region annotated. The transcript is spliced from 13 exons. Lineage: Eukaryota; Metazoa; Chordata; Lepidosauria; Squamata; Anolidae. The record is from RefSeq and is a predicted model, not a curated record.
CCCCCGGGAGGGCGGGGCUUGACGUCACGUGCCGGGGAGGAACAAACACCCACGCGCGUAGACAGGGCAAGGCGAGAGAGGAGAAAAAAAAGCGCGGAAGGCAGAGUCAGUGAGUGGACUUAAAAGCGGGGAGGAAUGCGGCGCGGGAGAGGACUUCGCCGUCGAGGGCGGCGGCGAUCGGAGCUGGGGCUGCCAUGGCGAAGGAGGAGAUGACGGGCGGCCACGAGGACCCCGAGCUCCUCCCGGGCGCCAAGCAGGAGCCGGGGCCGGAGGGCAGGGCCGGGACGCCCAACGGGGCUCUGCCGGGCUCUGCUCCGGCGGAGGUGCGUCUGUGCCGGCGGCGCUGGCUGAUCGUCCUGCUCUUCAGCUCCUACUCCUUCUGCAACGCCUUCCAGUGGAUCCAGUACGGGAGCAUCAACUCCAUCGUGAGCAAGUUCUACGGCGUGAGCGCCUUCGCCAUCGACUGGCUCUCCAUGUGCUACAUGGUGGUCUACAUCCCGCUGCUCUUCCCCGUGGCCUGGCUGCUGGACAAGAAGGGGCUGCGCCUCAUCGCCCUCGCCGGCGCCGCCCUCAACUGCCUGGGCGCCUGGGUCAAGACCGGCAGCGCCCAGCCCGGCCUCUUCCCCGUCACCGUCCUCGGCCAGGUGGUCUGCUCCCUCGCCCAGGUCUUCAUCCUCGGCAUGCCCUCCCGCCUCGCCUCCGUCUGGUUCGGGCCCCGGGAGGUCUCCAGCGCAUGCGCCCUCGCCGUCUUCGGCAACCAGCUUGGUAUUGCAGUGGGUUUCCUUCUCCCUCCAGUUCUGGUUCCCAAUUCGGACGAGAGGGAAGAGCUGGGCUAUCACAUUCGCAUCAUGUUUUUUAUGACUGCAGGUGUAGCAACGUUACUCUUCAUCUUGGUUGUCUUUGUAUUCCAGGAAAAACCUCCAUAUCCUCCAAGCCGGGCCCAGGCCAUGAUCCACUUGGCAGCACCUGAGGAGUAUUCCUACCUGCAAUCUAUUGUGCGGCUGUUUCGCAAUGUCAACUUUGUGCUGCUGAUAGUCAGCUAUGGCUUAAACACAGGAUGCUUCUAUGCCCUUUCCACAAUGCUGAACCGCAUGGUGGUGCUGAAUUAUCCAGGAGAGGAAUUGAAUGCUGGCAGAAUUGGCCUCACUAUUAUCGUGUCAGGCAUGCUUGGAGCUUUGAUUACUGGAAUCUGGUUGGACAGAACCAAAAUGUAUAAGCAAACGACCCUGAUGGUUUAUAUUAUGUCAUUUGUGGGCAUGGUGAUUUACACUUUUACUCUGGACCUAGGCUACAUUUGGGUGGUCUUUGUGACUGCGGGUGUGCUGGGUUUUUUUAUGACAGGCUACCUGCCACUGGGCUUUGAAUUUGCUGCUGAAUUGACUUACCCAGAGUCGGAGGGGACAUCAUCGGGCCUUCUCAAUGUAUCUGCACAGAUUUUUGGAAUCAUUUUCACAAUUAGCCAAGGACAGAUUAUUGAUGACUUUGGGACUCGAGCAGGAAAUCUCUUCCUCUGUGCCUUCCUGUUCGUUGGCACUAUUAUAACAGCUUUCAUCAAACCUGAUCUCCGGAGACAACGAGCCAAUCUGGAAAAUGAGCAGACUCAAUUCUCAGACUCCUGCGAACUCGCUCUUUAACUCCCCUGUCCGCCGUGAAGGAUUGCUUUCUAGUGAAGAGAGGCGAGAGCUUUUCAAGAGACUCCAAGCCAGUAACAGUCAGAUAAUGAAUUAUGGAAUUGUUCCUUAACCCCAGCAUUUCCCACCCCUGCCCAAUAACCCCCAAUUAAAGCAUUUCUGCCUGCAAAAUGUGGACACACACUGGCACUUAAGAAAUUGGGAGACAUGCCUUUAGACCAGUGUAAUACCACUAUAUGAGGACUUAAAACUUGAAAGAGUUUGGUGGCAAAAUGAGGAAGUGGUGAUACUGCUGCUGCCAUUGCUGACAUCACUACCACUUGCAUCUCACAUAUGUAGUGGACCAGCCCCCAAGUCAAUUCACAGUGCUACUUAAGUUGCUGAGGAACCAGCAGGUCUUGAGUCACCUCCAUCGUGUGAACCAGCGUCUUUGCCCUGAUGUGGCUCAGCAGGCAAGGAUUAAAGGCAGCAGUUGACUUGUUUUGGGCACUUCAGCUGACUCCUGAAUCCAGCAUUGCUUCAGUUGUAUACUUGAUGGACUAAGAACUAUUCUCUGAUCAUCCAUGGAUGUGUUCUGUAGACACUCAGAACAGGAUGCAAAAUGGAUCCAGAGGAAGAUUCUUGCUCCUCAGGGAGAACCAGAAAGCCCUUGCUCUGUGAGCAGACCUAAAUGAAAUUCAACCCUUGAUUUUAACAUAGGGAACCAAUUACAGUGGGAACAUAACCCUGUUUAGAGAGCAUUUUUAAAACCCAGUCCAGCAGAUAUUUUUAAAUUAAUGAGCCAUUAUUUUUAAAUGCAAAAGCUCUAUUUUUACCCUCCAUAGAAAAGCAAUUUGUUUUAAGCAAUACUGGGAAAUCACAUCCUGCCAUAAGCAAUAUUGGGAAAUUGCAUAUUUUCUUCCACACUAGAUACCUUUGGCCCUACUAAGAUUUAGCUUUUUUCCUGUUCACUGAAUGCAGAAAUAAAACAAAGUUUCAGCUUUA